Long non-coding RNA from Sycon ciliatum, 1101 nucleotides. RefSeq lists it as uncharacterized. Lineage: Eukaryota; Metazoa; Porifera; Calcarea; Leucosolenida; Sycettidae. The record is from RefSeq and is a predicted model, not a curated record. The transcript is spliced from 3 exons.
GUCUUUCAUUAGCGCUCCGGUAGUUUCUCAAAAUGGUAUACUCAAUCUCUUCGGCAUUCUAGCAACUGUUGUGGAUAUUGGCACAUUUGUGCAAGAAAGUGGCCUGAGCAUUGUAAAGGUUAAUCCGGCGAAUCUACAGCACUUUCUGAGGCGAAAUGUGUCCUAUGGGUGGCCUACUGUCGGAGCCAGUAUUCGUAAGCAGUACAGGGAUAUCGGACGAUGCUCACUGGAUCCGAAGAUGCACAGCCCCUCGCUGAGCGUCCGUAAAAAAUGCUACAUACAAGCCGAUCCGAUUGUUCUCCUCGAAAAUCAACCCGCUACCAAGAGCUACCAGAGGGGCUCAAGAAGUAAUGGGUCUUGUGCAACAUUCGGUGCCACUUUUGUUGAUACAAAUCAACUGAACAAUGACGAUACAAGCAUGGAUCAAUGGCACCAGUGCGCUGUUAGUAACUCCUCUAUUUUUGCCGUAACUAACCCGAACAAUGCGCUCGGCAAAAUGUUAAACCUCAGCACCGCCUGGAUUCUGCUGGGACAAUCAAGUACGGAGUGCUACAAGCAUCUCGGUAAUACCUGGCUCUACACUAGAAAUCAGUGUAGUAUGAAAAUGUUACAGGAAACUUACAUAAUGAAAAGGUAAUUACGUUUUAUGGGAAUCGAAUAUUGAAUCUCACAAACAAAGUGCAGUUCCGGUGGAACAUUCUCAUCCAUACUAAGCCCACCCUAAAAUAUCUCUCGAGCAAACACGCAAUAGUACACACCAUCGGAAGUUAUCCAAUACGUAAAAUAAAUCGAAGUCGUUCCAACAAAGACUUUACAGCUUACUACAGAAGUCCUUUCACACCGCACGGAAUCUAUCCACGUUUCUACACCCUUUGCUUUUUAGAUUGUCUGCAGGACAAUCCGACAGCGCACUUCAACUCCUUGCUGAGCGAAUGAGCGGCAACAAUGUGAGGGACCUCAGCAACGUUAUCAUUUCCGGAUCACUUAUAUUGGUUCCGUGGUCACAUUUUAGCGGCAUUCGUUGGAGCUCCUCUACGGGAAAGGGUUCUGGGCGGGUUCUCUCACGUAUUACUUUAUACCCAGCGCCAGGAGAGCUUAUUA